Gossypium arboreum is the source of this 1659-nucleotide long non-coding RNA. RefSeq lists it as uncharacterized. Lineage: Eukaryota; Viridiplantae; Streptophyta; Magnoliopsida; Malvales; Malvaceae. The record is from RefSeq and is a predicted model, not a curated record. The transcript is spliced from 6 exons.
AUUUUACCCAAAAAAAAAAAGGGAAAUCAAAAUCCCGCUCACUCUCAAAAAAUAACUUUUGGUUACCAUCUCAUUACUCCCUCUUCUUCUCAUCUAUGUCGCUCGCCCUAAAUCCCCCAAAUAAAAUUUAGCUACUCUUCUUCCCUAGAUCUGAAAUAAAAGAAAAAAAGAAACUGAAAAAAGCACAAAGGGUUUUUUGGAAGCAAAGCAGAGCGAAGAACUGUGUGAGCGAAUUGGCAGGAAAAAGCUUACAAAAAGGUAUGAAAUGGCAGAAUAUGCUUUCUGCUUUGGGUUUUCUUUUUUGGUUUAGGUAAUGGUGCUAAGGCUCGAUGGCAUAGAUGUUUCGGGGUUUAAAUUCCUCUUCUCAUUGCCGGUCAUGUAUGGUCUCAUGUCCAUCCUUGUUCACUCCGUAAUGUACACCAAGUUCAUCAUGCCUUUGGGGAUCGAAGCGCCUCUCGAUCGUUUCUCUGAAGCUAGAGCUAUCGAGCAUGUUUGAGUCUUAGCACAUGAAAUGGAUGGUCGUUAAGUGCGUCAGCUUAUCUUUUUUAACUUUAUUUCCAUCAUGUCAUGUACUUUUUUCUUUUUUUUUUCCUUUCAAUUUUACUGGAUAGCUUUAAAUCAUUACUAUUCUUAUUAGUUUAUUCUCACUGCUUAGAUUGAAGGUAACCUCUGGGGUAGCUGAAAUGGAAAAAAAAAUUCAAAUUUAUUGUUAUAGUAGAGUAGGACUUUAUGUUAGUGAUUAUGGGUUUUCGUUGUUCAAUAAGAAGGGCGUCAGGGUUUGAGAGAAACAGCAGAGUAUAUUAAGGCACAGUUGGAAAGGUUGAAGGAGAGAGCUGGGUCAAAUUUCAGGAUUGAGAUUGAAGAGAAUGUUGUUGGUGGGUCAUUCAAUAUGAUGUUCUUAGGCCAUGGAUUGUCAACUUCUACUUUUGAUGUGCCAAUGUCACCAAAGAAGGCUCUCCAUGCUGCAAUGUUGAAACGUCGUUUUGCUGACAAUAUUCUGAAAGCUCAGAAGAAGGCACUACUGGAUCAUGUAAAGUUUUAUUUUGGCUGCUAACAAUGAAAAGAAAAGGCAAAGAUUGAAGCUCAAAUCUUAGCUGCUGAAGCAGCAGCAAAAAUGAAGGCAGAGGUUGAGCUGAAAAAGCAACGGGAAAGAGAAAGAGAAGCUGCUCGAAUUGCAUUACAAAAGGCAUUAGUGAUAAUAAGAUAUAUCAUUAUCACUUAAAUCUUGGAGGAAGUGUUUCUACCAGAAGGCUGACUAGGCUACCUUCAAUUCCUAAGAAUGAUGCAAAGUUCAGGAUUCACAUUCAAGGAGCAAGAGACAUCGUAGCAACUCAUUGGGAUCGACCAGUCAGAAUUCAGAAUCAAGCGACACACAAGAGCUAUAUUUGGAGCUUAGACUGUCACUGUAAUCAGUAAAUUUUUUCUGCCACUUUAAAUGCAUGCUCAUGGAAUUGCAUUUUAUGCUUUCGUAGAAUUGUAAGUUCAAAUAAGAUGUUGAUGUUGCAAUUCAUACAUACAACUUGAGCAAGUUGAUAUGAACUAGUUUGAAUUUUUUUAAAAAAAAAUUUCAAAGGAAUCUUAUGUAAUCAAAGGCAAUUUGACUUGCUGUAUGAGAUAUAGUAAAAAAAUUGAUCUUCUUGUUUAUGAAUUUCCAAAUAA